GCAUGUUCUCAGGGCGGGGUGAAAGUCCCCACCGGCGGUAAGGGUGAUGAGCCCAAGCCCGCGAGCGCCUUCUCUCCCUUCAACGGGCGGGAAGGGUCAGCAGAUUCGGUGCAACUCCGAAGCCGACGGUUAAAGUCCGGAUGAAAGAGAACGGGA
RNAcentral lists this non-coding RNA (156 nucleotides) under Pseudomonadota bacterium. RNAcentral's name for it is "Proteobacteria bacterium FMN sequence". It matches the Rfam family "FMN riboswitch aptamer (RFN element)". From Rfam's summary of the family: The RFN element is a highly conserved domain that is found frequently in the 5'-untranslated regions of prokaryotic mRNAs that encode for flavin mononucleotide (FMN) biosynthesis and transport proteins. This element is a metabolite-dependent riboswitch that directly binds FMN in the absence of proteins. In Bacillus subtilis, the riboswitch most likely controls gene expression by causing premature transcription termination within the 5' untranslated region of the ribDEAHT operon and precluding access to the ribosome-binding site of ypaA mRNA. The record is from RNAcentral. Lineage: Bacteria; Pseudomonadati; Pseudomonadota.